RNAcentral lists this ribosomal RNA (1440 nucleotides) under uncultured organism. RNAcentral describes it as "SSU rRNA". It matches the Rfam family "Bacterial small subunit ribosomal RNA". The record is from RNAcentral.
CGCUAUCUACAGGCUUAACACAUGCAAGUCGAGGGGCAUCAGGAAGAAAGCUUGCUUUCUUUGCUGGCGACCGGCGCACGGGUGAGUAACACGUAUCCAACCUGCCCUUUACUCGGGGAUAGCCUUUCGAAAGAAAGAUUAAUACCCGAUGGCAUAAUGAUUCCGCAUGGUUUCAUUAUUAAAGGAUUCCGGUAAAGGAUGGGGAUGCGUUCCAUUAGGUUGUUGGUGAGGUAACGGCUCACCAAGCCUUCGAUGGAUAGGGGUUCUGAGAGGAAGGUCCCCCACAUUGGAACUGAGACACGGUCCAAACUCCUACGGGAGGCAGCAGUGAGGAAUAUUGGUCAAUGGGCGCUAGCCUGAACCAGCCAAGUAGCGUGAAGGAUGAAGGCUCUAUGGGUCGUAAACUUCUUUUAUAUAAGAAUAAAGUGCAGUAUGUAUACUGUUUUGUAUGUAUUAUAUGAAUAAGGAUCGGCUAACUCCGUGCCAGCAGCCGCGGUAAUACGGAGGAUCCGAGCGUUAUCCGGAUUUAUUGGGUUUAAAGGGAGCGUAGGUGGACUGGUAAGUCAGUUGUGAAAGUUUGCGGCUCAACCGUAAAAUUGCAGUUGAUACUGUCAGUCUUGAGUACAGUAGAGGUGGGCGGAAUUCGUGGUGUAGCGGUGAAAUGCUUAGAUAUCACGAAGAACUCCGAUUGCGAAGGCAGCUCACUGGACUGCAACUGACACUGAUGCUCGAAAGUGUGGGUAUCAAACAGGAUUAGAUACCCUGGUAGUCCACACAGUAAACGAUGAAUACUCGCUGUUUGCGAUAUACAGUAAGCGGCCAAGCGAAAGCAUUAAGUAUUCCACCUGGGGAGUACGCCGGCAACGGUGAAACUCAAAGGAAUUGACGGGGGCCCGCACAAGCGGAGGAACAUGUGGUUUAAUUCGAUGAUACGCGAGGAACCUUACCCGGGCUUAAAUUGCAGUGGAAUGAUGUGGAAACAUGUCAGUGAGCAAUCACCGCUGUGAAGGUGCUGCAUGGUUGUCGUCAGCUCGUGCCGUGAGGUGUCGGCUUAAGUGCCAUAACGAGCGCAACCCUUAUCUUUAGUUACUAACAGGUUAUGCUGAGGACUCUAGAGAGACUGCCGUCGUAAGAUGUGAGGAAGGUGGGGAUGACGUCAAAUCAGCACGGCCCUUACGUCCGGGGCUACACACGUGUUACAAUGGGGGGUACAGAAGGCAGCUAGCGGGUGACCGUAUGCUAAUCCCAAAAGCCUCUCUCAGUUCGGAUCGAAGUCUGCAACCCGACUUCGUGAAGCUGGAUUCGCUAGUAAUCGCGCAUCAGCCACGGCGCGGUGAAUACGUUCCCGGGCCUUGUACACACCGCCCGUCAAGCCAUGGGAGCCGGGGGUACCUGAAGUACGUAACCGCAAGGAUCGUCCUAGGGUAAAACUGGUGACUG